Molecule: ribosomal RNA, 499 nt
Filed under: Congochromis cf. sabinae JS-2011
Lineage: Eukaryota; Metazoa; Chordata; Actinopteri; Cichliformes; Cichlidae
Description: partial 16S ribosomal RNA
Rfam family: Bacterial large subunit ribosomal RNA
Source: RNAcentral
UCCCGCCUGCCCUGUGACUACAAGUUCAACGGCCGCGGUAUUUUGACCGUGCAAAGGUAGCGCAAUCACUUGUCUUUUAAAUGAAGACCCGUAUGAAUGGCAUGACGAGGGCUUAACUGUCUCCUUUUUCCAGUCAAUGAAAUUGAUCUUCCCGUGCAGAAGCGGGAAUUUACCCAUAAGACGAGAAGACCCUAUGGAGCUUUAGACACCAGAACAGACUAUGUUAAACACCCCUGCAUAAAGGAUAAAACUAAUUAGCCCCUGUCCAAUGUCUUUGGUUGGGGCGACCACGGGGAAACAAGAAACCCCCACAUGGACUAAGAGCACACCACUCUUACAACCCCGAGCUACGACUCAAAGUACCAGAACUUCUGACCAACAAGAUCCGGCACAGCCGAUCAAUGGACCAAGUUACCCUAGGGAUAACAGCGCAAUCCUCUUUUAGAGCCCAUAUCGACAAGAGGGUUUACGACCUCGAUGUUGGAUCAGGACAUCCUAA